AGGAGAAUGAAUGCUGCAGCGAAUACUUGACCUUGUUUACAUACAGUGACUUCGCAGAGCCGAGCACGAGCCGAGCGUCAUUCGGGCUUUUCCGGAAAGAAUGAUGCGGAAUGAAAGCGGCGCCAUGUUUAUUGUGGCCCAAAAUAAGCUCCAGCUGUGCUGCUGCUGUGGACAGAAGACAAGCCUCUGUGGUGCCUCUCAUUAGGACAUCACUGAAGACAAGAGAGACUCUACAGGAGCUGAAGUUAGGCUUUAAACCGCUUCCAGGCAUUCACAGCUCAUUUGGUUGCAGGAGAAACAUCUGAGGCAGGGCUGAUCCUUAAUGUGACUUAACUGAGAACUGGAGUCCUUGAAGAAUGGAAGUAUGAAGUAUGAAAGUCUUACCAUGUCAGGAUGAGAUUCCUGAAGAGCCCUCAUUUUGCAGCAGAGAGGAACCUUCCGGUACAGGAUCAACAGCAGCACCACGAUCAUGAAGAAAAACACCAGACAACAAACUGAAAAAGACCACAGACAACACUCAUCGCUCAGAUCUGUAACCUCGAGAUUUGGAAAUGUAGGCACUAUUUAUAUU
This is a long non-coding RNA of Carassius carassius (crucian carp), 571 nucleotides long. RefSeq lists it as uncharacterized. The transcript has 3 exons. The record is from RefSeq and is a predicted model, not a curated record. NCBI's taxonomy places the organism in Eukaryota, Metazoa, Chordata, Actinopteri, Cypriniformes, Cyprinidae.